AUCAAACUGCUAUUAUCAACUUAAGCAAGUUCGACAUGGACGGUGGCUGACGAAUAGAAAGGAGGUUUUUCCUAUGGAAGAAUCUUAUGAAAGGACUCAGCCUGAUGACGCUUUACGAAGCAUUGUCGCUAGUUUUAAGGUCACUGAGCUUUCUUUGGAAAGUUUAUAC
Molecule: small RNA, 169 nt
Filed under: Limosilactobacillus equigenerosi DSM 18793 = JCM 14505
Lineage: Bacteria; Bacillati; Bacillota; Bacilli; Lactobacillales; Lactobacillaceae
Description: Lactobacillus equigenerosi DSM 18793 = JCM 14505 Listeria sRNA rli28
Rfam family: Listeria sRNA rli28
Source: Rfam by way of RNAcentral